UUUGAUCUGUAUUUCUAUUAAAAGCUCUACCAAUUCCAUAACAGUUCCAGAAUUCUGUAUCAAUUGGUCUCUUAGCUGGACAAACGAAUAAAGUCUGUAUGUGCUUCCUAUUUAUUCAUCAAGAGCAAACUAAGGAUACCCUUGAUGUGAUAGGCAGCUAGAUCAGUUUCAAUCUCCACAGGUACAGAGUCCUUUUGCUGUCCUGAACCCCAUUGCUUUGAGGUCAAUAUGCUUGAUAGCAUUUGAUUUGGCUGUAACUCGAUUUUCGAGUUCUUAGUUUUCUUUUGCUGAAGCCAAAAUUCAUCUGCUUCUCAAGUAUCUCUAGAAAUUAAUCAUGCAAUCUUGAAGCUCCAUUUUGUCGUGUGUCUUGCUCUGC
Molecule: long non-coding RNA, 376 nt
Filed under: Vitis vinifera (wine grape)
Lineage: Eukaryota; Viridiplantae; Streptophyta; Magnoliopsida; Vitales; Vitaceae
Description: long non-coding RNA (VVIN_LNC006778)
Source: RNAcentral